AUUGAACGCUGGCGGCAGGCCUAACACAUGCAAGUCGAACGGUAACAGGAAGAAGCUUGCUUCUUUGCUGACGAGUGGCGGACGGGUGAGUAAUGUCUGGGAAACUGCCUGAUGGAGGGGGAUAAUUACUGGAAACGGUAGCUAAUACCGCAUAACGUCGCAAGACCAAAGAGGGGGACCUUCGGGCCUCUUGCCAUCGGAUGUGCCCAGAUGGGAUUAGCUAGUAGGUGGGGUAACGGCUCACCUAGGCGACGAUCCCUAGCUGGUCUGAGAGGAUGACCAGCCACACUGGAACUGAGACACGGUCCAGACUCCUACGGGAGGCAGCAGUGGGGAAUAUUGCACAAUGGGCGCAAGCCUGAUGCAGCCAUGCCGCGUGUAUGAAGAAGGCCUUCGGGUUGUAAAGUACUUUCAGCGGGGAGGAAGGGAGUAAAGUUAAUACCUUUACUCAUUGACGUUACCCGCAGAAGAAGCACCGGCUAACUCCGUG
RNAcentral lists this ribosomal RNA (490 nucleotides) under uncultured bacterium. RNAcentral's name for it is "partial 16S ribosomal RNA". It matches the Rfam family "Bacterial small subunit ribosomal RNA", at positions 30 to 507 of the family's 1533-position model. The record is from RNAcentral.